CGAGUUGUGGCUCAGUGGUAGAGUACUUGCCUAGCAUGCAUGAGGCACUGGGUUUGAUUCUCAGCACCACAU
RNAcentral lists this transfer RNA (72 nucleotides) under Ictidomys tridecemlineatus (thirteen-lined ground squirrel). Its description in RNAcentral is "Spermophilus tridecemlineatus (thirteen-lined ground squirrel) tRNA". It matches the Rfam family "tRNA". Rfam says of the family: Transfer RNA (tRNA) molecules are approximately 80 nucleotides in length. Lineage: Eukaryota; Metazoa; Chordata; Mammalia; Rodentia; Sciuridae. The record is from Rfam by way of RNAcentral.